AACGCACGAGACCUGCGGACCUGCGGAAGGAUCAUUACCGAGUGUUUCUACUCUAAACCCACUGUGAACCUUACCACUGUCGUUGCUUCGGCGGGCGUCCGCGCCCGCCGGCAGCACCCAAACUCUUGAUUUUUAGCAUGCCUCUCUGAGUACUAAAGACAAAACAAUCAAAACUUUCAACAACGGAUCUCU
Molecule: unclassified non-coding RNA, 192 nt
Filed under: soil metagenome
Description: partial contains 5.8S ribosomal RNA, internal transcribed spacer 2, and large subunit ribosomal RNA
Source: RNAcentral